CGUAGCCUCGUCCGUCGACCGGUAACCGAUCGGCGUAACGCGUAUACCGUCAUUAUGGUAUCCUGUUGUGCAUGGUUUUCGCCGGUCGCGUUUCCCCCGCAAACGGUAUCCGAACGCACGCGGCCCGACGCCGGCACUCGAUCACUGAAGCCCUGGUACCCAGAAAUCAAAGCCGUGCAAUAACAAGCAAAAACCCAAUCGAACACAUAUUUUUCUAUAUUAUUGAUGUCAAUAACAUUGAUGUCCACGCUCGUCGAAAUCGAAUACCCAACCGGAACACGGAACAACGUGAUUCCCGCCCGCUGGUCAUUAAUGCGUUAUUAUUAUUUUCGACGCCGGUGCGCAACCUACCUCGGCCGAACGAAACCUGAUCUGCCAGUGAUCACGAUAUCAAUCUUAUUUUUACCCAAUGUAUCGACUAAUUUAAUGUUUUUUAGAAAUGUGAUUACAAUUUAUCUUCAUUAAUUAUGGGACUGAGCCAUGAUGAACUGUGGUCUGUGAAGUCAAAAUACGCCAUUAUUGAGAGAAUUAUUGGUUUUAUCACAGAAAAUUGUGGCCCUUUAUAUACGGCUUCAUUUAUCUAAAUACAGCCAGCGAUCUUGGCCUGCGGAUGAGAGAUGUCGACCACUCGUUCAUGGGACGCUGGUAUCCGGAGCCGUUUGAAUUUAUGCCUUGCCGUACCGUUCUGCGCAACACACACCGACGUGGGGACGACACAUCGGUUGCUGCGAAUGGGUGCGCCAUGCACAUUGCACACGCGUGUCUCCGGCGACGUCCGCCGACGAACACUCACGGCCUACUCGCGUGCAUGAGGCCCUGGUACUUGUGUGUCCCCGUUGCGAGUACAAAGACGUGUACACACGUGUAUUUGACUCGCACACGUAUCACACGUCAUGUACGCUCCGCCACAACUUCUACCGAAUUUCCUUCGAUCGACCAUGAUUGGCGGCAGACGGCCGAAAAGUAACGAUAUUGUAAUUUUUUUUGUUUUCGGAAUUUAAUAAAUCUACGGACGUAAUUUACGUUAUUAUAAAUUAUAUUAUAAUAUAUUAUUAAUUAUAUUAUAUUAUAUUUUUGUAUUUUACGUGUCUUAUUACUGAAAAAUGUUUUUUCGCUAACACGA
Metopolophium dirhodum (rose-grain aphid) is the source of this 1123-nucleotide long non-coding RNA. RefSeq lists it as uncharacterized. NCBI's taxonomy places the organism in Eukaryota, Metazoa, Arthropoda, Insecta, Hemiptera, Aphididae. The record is from RefSeq and is a predicted model, not a curated record. The transcript has 3 exons.